RNAcentral lists this long non-coding RNA (8254 nucleotides) under Capsicum annuum. RNAcentral's name for it is "long non-coding RNA (CANN_LNC004000)". The record is from RNAcentral. Lineage: Eukaryota; Viridiplantae; Streptophyta; Magnoliopsida; Solanales; Solanaceae.
CAAAUUCCUCAUCCAAGAAUGGCACACGGUUAAAUUUCCAAAACGGAAAAUAAACAGUCGCAGAUAUGCCGGAGGAGCAGCACAAGCUACUGAUCUCCACCAUGCCCAUCCAGCAGCUGAACCUACUGAUAUCCGCCAUGCUCGUCCUGCAGAUGAAGCACCAACAACUAAGGUAAAUACGGUAAACACAAGUACAGGUACGAAGUCGCCAUCUUUUACGUUCUCUUCUGCUUCGCCCCUGCGUCCUAACACUUCUAAUUCUCUCCCCAGCAAAGAAGAUGUCAAAGGGAAAAAUAAAGUUGGGAGUUACAAAAGAAGUAUUAGAUCACCCAAUAGGGAUAUUGCUGAACCUUCGUCUCUCACCUCUCUUCCCUGUUCCAAUCAAUUGGCAGCAUUAAAUGCUACUUCUCCAUCUACUCCAAAUAUUUCUUUCCCCAAAGAAAGUAAUGAUGUAACCAUGGCUGCAAAUAACCGAGCCCCCAAAAAAGAAAAUAUCACUUUUUCAUGUCCUCCGUUACAAACAAGAGAAAUUUUCACUGACACAUCCCCCAGUGUCAGCAACAUGUCAUUUUCCAAAGAAAACUCUCCUAAUCUUACUGUAGAUAACCCAAAAAAUUUACCAACUACGUUUGAUCAAAGGGAUGACAUGGCAAUCAUUUUGCCAAAUACCACUCAACAAGAAAAUCCUUUGUCAUCACUAUCAGCAUACUUGACAUCCGACCAAUGCAUGCAAAACAUCUCAAUUCUUAACUCCUCUACUACUAGCUCCGCCGUUUUAACAGAUACCAACACCUCUUACUCACUACUUCACUCUUCCAUAAAAUCAUUGCCUCUCCCACUUCACUCUACUUAAAUACUUCAGAUCACUCAACUGAAGAUGAACAACCGCUUUGUUGUACCACUUCAUCAGAAAGUUUGACUUUCCCCUGACCCUCGGCUCCCACGCUCUCUCAACAUGGAAAUUCCAACUAUACCACCUCAUGUCACCCGCCAUCCUCUCCUCUAUGCAACCCAACCAGUUCAUCCACUCCAUCAGCCACAAAUAUGGAUCGAGAAGGCCCUCCAAGGGCAAGCUGCAUUGUUCUCAAUGGACAUCAAUGGAGUUGAAACAUUGGUCAUUUUACAAAAUCAGAAGUUUCUUGCCUAACUGGUCUCGGAAGGCAUAAAAUGGGCCAUAGAAUACUUUAUGAACCAAAUGUGGCUUACGAACAUCAUGGACCAACUACCCCAAUCAAUCACUCCACAGUUUCUCCACAGAAUGCAGACCUUAUGGAAUUUGCCUCAUCUACUAGCUCAGUUCCCCAACCUGCAAGAAGUUGCUAUGACCCCGUUCUUCACUCCUUGAUCAGUUAUCAAUGCGGACCCCCUUUUCUUUCCAUGGAUUUCCAUCCCACUCCAACAGGGCCAAUUCUUGCUUCCCUCUACUCCGCCACUAGUCCCAGUCCAAGCCCUCGAGUCAGAGCAUAUAAAGAGAACCUCCUUCACGGAGAUCUCUACCUUCAAAAAAGCGAGUCUCAUGAUCUUCCCCGAGGACGAGGACAAUAAGUAUGUCCAUCUUUGUCCAAUCUCUUUACUGGAGAGCUCCUUCGACCUGCGUCCGGCCAUCAACAGUGCCAUAGCCAAGUUCGCAGUAGUGAUGACACCCACUCUUAGGUGCAGUCAAUUUCCUCUUGGGGCCAGCUUCUCUUCUCACCCAAACUUUUUCCCCCCCAUGACUCAAGCCACUAGCUUUGUUAUUUGGAACACAAGGGGAGUUAAUAAUGAGAAUUUUAGGUGAAACUUUAGAGAACUUAUUAACACGCACAACCCUUGUCUGGUUGCGCGACUAGAAACUAAAAGGCAUGAUCACUUGAGUCUUAUGUUUGAAUUCGGGUUUGACAACUACUGGGAGGUUCUUGCUCAAGGACAGUCGGGGGGCAUUGUACUACUUUGGCAUGCAAACUUUGUGAGUGUCACUAGACAAAGUCAGUCUGAACAAGAACUCCAUGCCAUGAUACAGGUACAUCCGAAAACCUACUACUACCUUUUAUCCAUUAUUUAUGCAAGUAAUGAUUUAAAUAAGCAUUGUUCUAGCCUUGAAACUAUUGCUAAUGAUAUAAAUGACCCUUAGUUGAUUGCCGGUGACUUUAAUGAAAUAUUCUCUCAAUCUGAUAAAUGGGGCGGCCGACACAUCCACAAUAGAAGAAGCCUUGAUUUUUUAUCCUGUAUAAAUCACUGUAAUUUACUUGACCUAGAUUACAAGGGUAGUAAGUAUACCUGGUCAAAUUAUCGUAAACAUAACAAAGGGCUCAUUUUAGAGAGACUAGAUAGUCUUUGCGAAUACUGCUUGGACAGAUCAGUGGCCGAAUACCCAUAUUACUCAUAUCCCGAGAACCUACUCAGAUCAUAAUCCUCUCCUUAUUUCCCUCAGUAAUAAGUUUGUUAUGGGCGGAGGCAACCUUUUUAGGCUUGAAAAGUUUUGGAUGGACUAUCCCGAAUUUGAUAAUACGGUCAAAGCUAGUUGGGACUACUAUACAGUUUUAGAGGCUAUCCCUAUCUUUAGGCAGACUGUUUUGAAUUGGAGUAGAGACACCUUUGGAAAUAUUAAGAAGAACAAAAAAACUAUUUUAGCAAGGCUCUCUGGCAUUCAAAUCUCUCCUGCCUAUCCCUUUAGUAGUUUUCUUCAGAAUCUUGAAAAGGACCUUAGGACUGAGUUUAACAAAAUCCUUAAAAUUGAAGAAGACUAUUGGCGCAUGCGAUCCCGUAUCAAUUGGCUUCAGCAGGGGGAUGCUAACACUAGUUUUUUUCACCUUUCCAUUCUCAAUAGACGUCGCAAAAAUAAAAUCUCUUAUUUCCAAGACGCUCAGAAUAACUGGAUCAUUGGUCCUGUCAAAAUUUCCAACCACACUUUGGACUAUUUUGUUAAUUGUUUUACCACUAGUCACUCCACUUCCUACUGGAAACAUAUCACCACCUCCCCUGCUAGCUGCCACCAGUUUGAUCUUUCAUGUCUUGAUUCCCCCUUCAAGACGUGGAAAUAACUCAGGCCCUUUUCUCUUUCAAGCUUUUUAAGGCUCCGGGCCCGGACGGAUUGCACCCCCACUUCUUUCAAUCCCACUGGCACACCGUCGACCCCUCCAUCAAGGAACUUUGUCAUCAGGUCUUCACCAACCAAAGAGUUCCUUCUUCUAUUAAUGAAACUCUCUUAUGUCUCAUUCCAAAGUUUGCUAAUGCUAACAAACUUCAGAAUUUCCAGCCAAUUAGUUUAUGUAAUACUACCUAUAAGUUGAUUACAAAAAUUAUUGCAAAUCGUAUCAAGCCCCACUUAGCAUAUCUCAUUGGCCCUCACCAAACUAGUUUCCUCAAAGGUCGUAGAGCCUGCGAUAACGCUAUUCUUGUCCAGGAGCUUAUUACCCAUCUUCGUCGUACUGAGAGUACGAAACGAUGCUUUAUGCUCAACUGGAUCUCAAAAAAAUGUUCAAUCGUCUUGAAUGGUCCUUCGUUUAUCUGCGCUCCUCUACUUCAAAUUUUCUCCUAAAAUUACUUCCCUCAUAAUGAACUGCAUUUCUUCUAGUAGUAUAGCUGUUCUUGUCAACGGCACUUAAACGACUUACUUCUCGCCUUCUAGAGGAAUCCCCCAAGGGGACCCCAUGUUCUUGUAUAUUUUUAUCCUUUGUAUGGAGAUGCUUUUCACUUAUAUAAACCAUCAAGUCGAUCUCCUGACUUGGGAUCCAAUUACCCUUUCCCCUACGGGCCCCCAGUUGUCACACCUUUUCUUUGAUGACGAUUUGACGCUUAUCUCUAAGGCUACUUUCAAGUCAGUUCACACUAUUGCUAAUCGCGUGAAAUCUUUUUGCUCCCUUUCAGGCCAAAACAUUAACGUAUCUAAAUCCAAAGCCUUACUCUCUAAAAAAUGACCGGCGGCCGUUAAGGACCUUAUUUGGAGCCUAAUGCGCAUUUUACCUGCGGAAAAUUUUGAAAAAUAUUUAGGCUUCCCUAUUCUUAAUACCAAGCCCAAAUGCAACGACUUCCAAUUUAUAUUAGAUAAUAUGCACAGAAAGCUCGCUUCUUGGAAAACUAAUUUCCUCUCUCAAUCAGGACGUUUAGUACUAGCCAAAUAUACUCUUAAUGCGAUCCCGGCUUACACCCUGUAGUACUUUAAGCUCCCUAAAAAUAUCUGUCAUUUUAUCGAUCAAAUUCAACGGGACUUUCUGUGGGGGUCCUCCUCUGUCAAACGCAAAAUUUAUUAUGUUGGUUGGGAACAAGUUACUAAACCAAAAGUAAACGGAGGCUUGGGGCUUUGUGUCACGCCCCAAAAUCCCAUCGGACCGGACUGGCACCCGAAGCCGAGAAGGCCCGGGAGAACCCGUUCAGAUACCUGUACUUUCACUUACAUGUCACCAAAAAUUUGGACAGCACUUCGUUGCAUAUAGAAGGGUCUAAUUACCUGUAUCAGCACAACACGCACAAAUAUAUAUAUAUAUAAUACUUGGCCGUCGGGGCCACCACAUAUACAAAUAUAACAUCACUAUAUAAACUUCCAUGACUUUACCCUUCCUUAUGUCUACAAAGCCUCUAGGAUAUACAUGACAUAACUAGGGUCGGGACAAACCCCCGCCCACACGUGACUCAUGUACAAUAACAAAACAUAAGGAACCGACUCGGAAAGCUCCGAAGCAAACUGGAGCUCACCAACAAUAGCUGUAUGACCUGGCUCCUACUUGUGCGGUGUAUGAGCUGAGGUACCUGUGCCUGCAGCAUGAAAUGCAGGUCCCCCGUGAGGGACGUCAGUACGAAAUAUGUACUGAGUAUGUAAAGCUGUAAAUAAUCACAUAUGAUAUAGGAGCUCAAUAGAAAUCAGAAACAAGUGAAUAAGUCGUAAUAGGAGUGGACCACACUUACUAGAACUUGUGACAACCUGUACAUUGUAUUUAUUCAAUCACUUUACCUUCGUUCUUAUCGUCUUUGUAAUCAUUACUGUACUGUACUGUGACCAUUAGGCUGCCUCCAGUACAUAUCAACUGGGAUCGACCCAUGCUAGGCUUAUGCCCCUGGGAUACCACCCAUAAACACAUAAAUAGGGAUCGACCCAUGCUAGGCUUAUGCCCCUGGGAUACCACCCGAUAAGAGAGAACUUCCAUCACUUAGUUCAAUUAAUCUUUGAGAUUGUUAUUUCGGUCGCCACCACAUUUUUGAUACUUUGAAACAAUGAUACAUCAAUAGGAACCAAGUAAUAGACCUUCUAUACAAUAACGAUGUAAUAAAGACUCAUUGGUACAUCAACAAUGUGUUUCAGAAUCAUCAAUAUCACAACAAUGAAAUAGGAGCCUUUUGGUAUAUCAAUGAAACAUUUUGACACUUUAUAGGAUGGAAACAACUUCGUUGGUAACGUAGAACAAUACAUGUUUUUGGACAACCUCGGAAUCUUACUUGAUGGAACAUUGGUGUUUUCAUGCCAAAGAACAUUGUUAGAGUAUGCUUUACAUACCUCGUUGUAGAUUCGGAUACCAAUUCAACACAACUUCCCGCCUUUACAAAUCACUUAUCUACAAUGAAAUGUUUGGCAUCUAGUAUUAGCAACCCAACACCACAAUUCUCUUCCAUAAUUCCAUACUACCAAUAUUUGCAAAACAUUCCAAAAAUCAACUUGAACAAUAGGUUUAUGUGUGUGUAUAUAUAUAAUCAUCAUUUCAAUACCACAUCAUCACACCAAAUCCCUUCACAAUUCAACAUAAUCCAACUAUGCACAAGAAUAAUCCAACAUCAUUUCCAAUCAUCUUUCAACAACAAUCAAAUAACAUACUUCUUAUGCUCACAUGCAUAUAUAUAUAUAUACAUAUCCAUAUAAAUAACACCAACAUAAUUUACAUCCUUACCAUAAAAUGGCCCUUUUGAUUUCGAAGUCCUGUUGGCACAAAUAAGGGGUGUUUCUCGAAGCCCUCGAGACGGUGAACACAACUACGGAAUCAAUUUGGAUUUUCUACGGUUGAAUCACAAGAUAAUUGGAGUUGAACUUAGGCUAGGGUUUCUUAUUCUUCAAUAAUUUGGAUGAUAAAUGAUGGAUAUGAGGCUAAUUAUAUGUAUAUAAUGACCAAUUUUCGUCCAUGAGGUGAUGGAAAAUGACCAUAUUGCCCUUAAAAUUUAAGUAGAUCCGAAUCUGUCCAUGGUGGACUCUUUUGAUAGGGUAAAGUAAAUCGACCAUAACUCUUUGCUNNNNNNNNNNNNNNNNNNNNNNNNNNNNNNNNNNNNNNNNNNNNNNNNNNNNNNNNNNNNNNNNNNNNNNNNNNNNNNNNNNNNNNNNNNNNNNNNNNNNNNNNNNNNNNNNNNNNNNNNNNNNNNNNNNNNNNNNNNNNNNNNNNNNNNNNNNNNNNNNNNNNNNNNNNNNNNNNNNNNNNNNNNNNNNNNNNNNNNNNNNNNNNNNNNNNNNNNNNNNNNNNNNNNNNNNNNNNNNNNNNNNNNNNAAAUCUUUAUAUCGUUGGAAAGCUAACUCGAUAAACUUCGCAUAGGAACUUCGACGAGCAAAUUUCGGUAUAAAUAAAGUCGAUUCCUAUACACAUAUAAUCAAACUAUACACUUGAAACCAUCUCAAAAUUAUCAAUACUCAUACUUAAACUCAUAUAUACCUAACUUAUGAUCAAUACAUAUACUCCAACACAUAUAACCAUGGCUAAUGCACGUAAUUAAGUACGGGGUGUUACACUUUGUGACUGUGAAAACAAAAACAAAGCAAUUUUCACCAGUCUUUCCUGGCGUAUAUUUACUCAACCUUCCUCUCUAUGGGCUCGAACGUUAGUCUCCAAAUAUAAUAAUUGGCACCAGUCCUCCACUCGUUCCUUCAUCUGGAAAAAUAUUCUCCUUGGCGGUGUUAUUUGUAAUAAAUCGACUGCAUGGGCUCCGGCUUCGGGGGCCUUCAUCAACGUUUGGUCUUACCGAUGGAUUCCCAACGUCCCUCCCCUGCGCCAGGUACUCUCAGGCCCCCUUCACCGAAAUAAAGAUAAGCUUCGCUUAUCCGAUAUGUGGAACGGGCACUCUUGGGAGUGGGAGAAGAUUUCUUUUGAUAUACCCUUAGAUAUUAUCCAUCGUGCUGCUGCUAUUUGUCCCUCCGACACUUUGGGUAAUCAAUAUAAACCUUACUGGGCCCUUAAUCCUAAUGGCCUCUUAUCUACCAAAUUAGUCUACCUUUCUCUUAUCAGCCAUCACAGUAAUAAUUAUGAUUUCCAUUGGAUCUGGAACCUUCGCACUUUAGAAAAGAUAAAAAAUUUCCUUUGGUUGUGCUCCUAUGGCAGGCUUCCUAUUUCAGCCUACCUCCACCAUAUAGGUGUCUCUCCUUCCCCUCUUUGCAGUGUUUGUAAUUCUGCUCCAGAAUCUGCUGUGCACCUCUUCUUUCACUGUUUCAUAGCUAGAAAAUUCUAGAUUGACAUAGGUAUUAAUAGCUCUCACUUCGAUUUUUCCAAUCUCCAUUGGCUCCAAGUGAUGAAAAAAUCCCAUCUCUCUUUCUUCAACCAUCCUUUGGAAUGGCUCGACUUUUUACCUUUUGCGUUAUGAAACCUUUGGCUAAACCGUAAUCAGAAUGUUUUUCACAAAAAUAUUAACUUUCUGUCAAUUGAAUUGGUGCAUCACAAGGUUGAGGAAUUUCAUUAUUAUUCGCGCUUACCUAGCAACCUAACCAACACUAUUACUGUCAAUAUUAAGUGGGUUCCCCCUAAGCGAGGAACUUAUAAGUUGAAUGUAGACGGCUCGUUCUCAAAUACAUCCAACUGCAGUGGCAUCGGCAGAGUCAUUCGCGAUGCUGACGGCCAAUGGAUUGUUGGGUUCUCCAACAAAAGCAUGGGUAAUUCAGGCAUGAUGGUUGAGUUGGAAGCUCUUCACCAAGGCCUGUGUAUGGCAUCAUCCUUUGCGUGCACACCUCUUGAAAUAGAGUCGGACUGUACAGAUCUUAUCCAACUUCUUCAGCACCCAAUUUCUCCUUAUACUAACAUAGUCUCUUCUUUUGCAGGUUAAUGUUGAGGAACUUGGGGAAUCUAGUGGUACAACAUAAUUUCCGACUUGAUAACACUGUUGCAGAUAGCCUUGCCAAAGCAGGAUCUCAUCUAUUACAUAUCCAAGCUCAACCCUUUUUGGUCUCUCCACCUCCUACUGUGAAAGCUUUGCUGCAACACGACCGAGAUGGAGCUAGUACUAGUAUAUUAGUUUCUUGGCCUGUAUGCCAUCACCUAGUUUCUCUAGGAAACCAGUCUGUAAUAAGUAAUUCUAGCGUCAAUAACUCUAAGACUUU